GGAAAAUCCAGGAUGAGAAAUCCUGGAGGUGUUUGUGGUUGUGUGUACCCACAGAUACCGAGGCUGAGUGAGAUCCUCAGUUGUUUGUUCCCCAUCAGUGCAAGGUUAGGCUGUUCCUGCUGCUCCUGCUGCUCAGAAACCUGGCCCUAAAUCCUGCUGGCAGCUGGGCUCCCGGUGCAGGUGACCAGGUGGGGAUGGGGUGGGACGGAGCCAUCACACCUGUCCUUGUUUGUGCUCCAGUGACCUCUCAGCAGGGGAAUUUCUGCACAGGCUGACAGCACGGCGAUGGGAGAGACAUUAACCUCUGAACUCCAGCUGCUGACAGCUUCCAAACAAAUCAUCCUGGUGAAGAUCGCUUCUCCAGGCCAGGGGACUUGCUGGAGGUCUCACGGUGGUGGAAGGAGAAAAGGAAAUGAAGCCCAGCUCUUCUCACUCUGCCUGCUCUCUCCCUCCCACCUCUGAACUGUGUUUUUAACUAAUUCCACCAAUUUUUCCUUUUCCAGGAGUGAGACUCCUGCAACCCCAGGGCACGGAACCGUGAAACAGCUUUUGUCUUGGAGCUGGCGUCUCUGUUAUCAAGCCUUGCCCUGCUAUUGUCCGAGGCUGCAGGAAAAGGAAGGAGAGGAAUUCCUUCCCUGCGGUUCCUUCCUGCCCCAAGCCAGGCCUGCAGGGCUCCAGCAGCCCCCGGGACCACCAGGACGCCAACAGGAGCUCACUCGGUGCCAGGCAGAGGAGGGGAAGCUGCUAAUGGAUGCUGAUGGAGCUGUGAGGAUCCUCCCGGGGGCAGCAGGGCUGUCCCGGAGUGAGAAAAGCAGCUCGCAGCUCGCUCGCACUUCCAUGGAUGCUCCGGCUGUCGCUCUCGCACAUCCCUCGGGGUCACAGCUCCAGCAGGGGAAGAUUUGCAGCUCCAGGCAAACCACGGAGCCAGAUGUCAGGAAGGAGAACGAAGUGUUUCCAUCUUGGUCACUGGAGCUCCAUCUCAUGGUGUGUUUCAUGACCUCCUCCAUGGCUGCAGGAGGAAAUUCCCUGUGAGGGGAAGGCUCUUUCUGCACUGGUGAUUAUAGAGGGGGCUCAUUUCCCUGCUGGAGCUCAGGAGCAUCCCUUGGUGGGGUGGAACACGUUCCAGAAGCCCCCUGGAGAAGCAGCUUUUGUGCAGAGCUGAUGUCUCACUAGAGCAUCACCUCCAAGCCCUGGCACAGCUGGGACAGGACCUGUGGCACGGCUCUGGGGCUGCUCCUGAUGCCUCAGCUUUGGCUUUUAUAUUUUUCAGGUUCUGUGCUGCUUUAGUGUGUGGGUGUGGGCUUCAUAUUAUGGGAUGGUGAGCUCUGUGCACAGAGCAGGGAGACAAAACAAUUCCUGCUCCAGCUGGGCACCAAGGACAAAUGAUCCAAAUCUCAGCCCAGGAGCACAAACACCGUGGGCUGGAGAGAGAAAAACAAGGAUGGGACUGCAUGGGCUAAAGCUGGAAUUGGACAAUUAAAUCCAAUAUGCAAAUGGAGCAGAACUUAUAAAUGUGAGAGACCCCGUGAGCGGUGGGGCAUUUGUGACCAUUUUGGUGCAUUUUGGGUUCAUUUUGUGACCAUUUUGGCUUCACCUGGGGUGUAGCCCUGGCUGGGCUCUUGUGCUGCCCAGGGUGGAUCCAUUGAGACCUUUAAUAAAUCCCUGCUUUAUUCCUUAGCUCUGUCCA
Molecule: long non-coding RNA, 1687 nt
Organism: Junco hyemalis (dark-eyed junco)
Lineage: Eukaryota; Metazoa; Chordata; Aves; Passeriformes; Passerellidae
Source: Ensembl